Molecule: long non-coding RNA, 675 nt
Organism: Myotis myotis
Lineage: Eukaryota; Metazoa; Chordata; Mammalia; Chiroptera; Vespertilionidae
Exons: 3
Source: RefSeq, a predicted model, not a curated record
CACACCGCGUCUCAUUCCCUCCUGCGGACUCGGGGUAGACGCAUGUGUCCCUGUGGCACUGAGGCUGUGACCUGCUCUGGGUGGCACCUGGGACUCUGCUGGCAUGUGGGAAGGCAUUCAUCGUCAGCUGAUGACUAAAGAAUCAUGUGGGUGUGUAAUAAACACGCCAGAAUUGUAGGAACCAGCGGUCGCCAACCUUUCGGACCACCAGUUGCCCCCAGACCACCGGUUGGCAACUGCUGGUAGGAACCAUGUCGAGCAGACGCCCCAGUAUGGGGACUGUUUGCACCGACCCAUGCGCUAUUUCAACCUCCAGGCCAGGGGCUGCGACCCAGGGAGCAGGAAAAUGAUGCGGCAGAAUCCUUCUAGAUGCUUUGGCUGCUCCAAUCCAGAGGGGUUCACUACACCCAGAGACACUGAAAGGGAAAUGUCUGCCAGAGGCUGAUGUGUCACAAGAGGCAGCUAAGCCAGAAUGGCAGACCCCCAACCAGCUCAGAAAUGUCUGCGGCAGCGGGGGCGGUGAUGGGAGCACCAAUGCUGGGUAGAAUCUACCUGCCUCGGGAGAUGGGAACCAGCACUGAGAUCUGUGUCUGCCCUCGGGGAGAUGGGGAGAGAUGGGGGCCAGUGCUGAGAUCUGUGUCUGCCCUCGGGAAGAUGUGGGGAGAUGGAGAGAGA